CAGUCGCCGCGGUAACACGCAGGGGGCGAGCGUUGUCCGAAGUUACUGGGCGUAAAGCGCGCGUAGGCGGCUUCUUAAGCCUGAGGUGAAAGGUUCAACGCUUAACGUGAACAGUGCCUUGGAUACUGGGGAGCUUGAGUAUGGGAGAGGGCAGUGGAAUGGCUGGUGUAGCGGUGAAAUGCGUAGAUAUCAGUCGGAACACCCAUGGCGAAGGCAGCUGCCUGGCCUAAUACUGACGCUGAGGUGCGAAAGCGUGGGGAGCGAACGGGAUUAGAGACCCGAGUAGUCCCUGUCUCUUAUA
This 301-nucleotide ribosomal RNA is filed under the name uncultured bacterium. Its description in RNAcentral is "partial 16S ribosomal RNA". It matches the Rfam family "Bacterial small subunit ribosomal RNA", at positions 509 to 808 of the family's 1533-position model. The record is from RNAcentral.